This 465-nucleotide ribosomal RNA is filed under the name Vreelandella stevensii. RNAcentral describes it as "partial 16S ribosomal RNA". It matches the Rfam family "Bacterial small subunit ribosomal RNA", at positions 338 to 795 of the family's 1533-position model. Lineage: Bacteria; Pseudomonadati; Pseudomonadota; Gammaproteobacteria; Oceanospirillales; Halomonadaceae. The record is from RNAcentral.
CCUACGGGAGGCAGCAGUGGGGAAUAUUGGACAAUGGGGGGAACCCUGAUCCAGCCAUGCCGCGUGUGUGAAGAAGGCCCUCGGGUUGUAAAGCACUUUCAGUGAGGAAGAACGCCUGGUGGUUAAUACCCAUCAGGAAAGACAUCACUCACAGAAGAAGCACCGGCUAACUCCGUGCCAGCAGCCGCGGUAAUACGGAGGGUGCGAGCGUUAAUCGGAAUUACUGGGCGUAAAGCGCGCGUAGGUGGCUUGAUAAGCCGGUUGUGAAAGCCCCGGGCUCAACCUGGGAACGGCAUCCGGAACUGUCAAGCUAGAGUGCAGGAGAGGAAGGUAGAAUUCCCGGUGUAGCGGUGAAAUGCGUAGAGAUCGGGAGGAAUACCAGUGGCGAAGGCGGCCUUCUGGACUGACACUGACACUGAGGUGCGAAAGCGUGGGUAGCAAACAGGAUUAGAUACCCGUGUAGUC